Xiphias gladius (swordfish) is the source of this 635-nucleotide long non-coding RNA. RefSeq lists it as uncharacterized. The record is from RefSeq and is a predicted model, not a curated record. NCBI's taxonomy places the organism in Eukaryota, Metazoa, Chordata, Actinopteri, Istiophoriformes, Xiphiidae. The transcript has 4 exons.
GUCUGGGGAACUUGAGAACACACGCUGGGACCAGGAAAAGAGGGAGUAUCUGAGGCUGAAGAGGGAGCAGGUGCUAAAAUGACACAUACAAUGCAGACACCUAUGAAGAUCACAGCUGCUAAAUGCUUAAUGAGCCGUCCACAGUCUUAUGACAAAUGCGACAGAUGAGAACUUCGGUAGGAGACGGUAGGAGGGAAGCAAACAGAUGAAGGGCGGUCCAGCCACGUACUAGGUUUUUUGCAAUAGGAAAUGUCUUCUACUGAGAGUGACAACAGCUGCAUCAACCCCGAGAGAUACAGUGUACAGCGCCUUUUGAAAUCCAAGUGCCGCUUGUCUUGAUCUUUUCACUUUGCUUUCUGACAUACAAAUAAGCUUAAAUUGUUGCCCAAAGAGAAGACUUUGUAGAAUGGUCUGAUGGGUUUAUUGAACUUUAUGAAAUUGAUAGAAACAGGAGAGAAAAUAAUAUACAUCAUGUGUUGUGAUGAUUUAAAUAAUAAAAACAUUUUACACAGCUAUUGAAAAAAGUCUCACAAAAAAUGUUGUACCAAAGUGCUUUACACAAGAGGAGUGAUUUACACUUGUGCUUUAUAUGUACUCAAUAAAAUGUACAUAUACAGAACAAACAGUAACAACCG